GAUUUUCUUUGGAAUGAAGCUUUAUCCUUGCCACACAAAAGAUCGUGUGGAAGAAAUUUCUCUGUUCGAUAGAACGAGAGGCUUCUAUUGCAAGACCUUCUAUGCUGAAGCACUUGUUUAUAUGAAGGCUUCACUAUCCAAAUCCUGUCUUCACUGGCUUCAAGAAUCCUGUCUUCACUGGCUUCAAAACUGGGAUGAAGGAGGCUCCUUAGUGGAGAGCAAAGCAAAGAGAAACUCAAAUUGGAUUCAUAUUAAAGAAGAGAAGGAUGGAUUUGUUUAGACAACACAAACCUAGGAAGGGUUUGAGGGGUGAAACAAACUGGGUUAUGGAUGAACGGGGGCAAUUGGAAUGUAGAAUUGAAACAGUAGUUAACAUCUUGGUUUCAUCUGGGUGUUUGGCAUCAUGUUCAGAAAUGCGAAAAAUAAAAUUCAGCACCGUUA
Molecule: non-coding RNA, 441 nt
Filed under: Pan troglodytes (chimpanzee)
Lineage: Eukaryota; Metazoa; Chordata; Mammalia; Primates; Hominidae
Source: RNAcentral